CAGCAGCCGCGGUAACACGUAGGGGGCGAGCGUUGUCCGGAAUUACUGGGCGUAAAGGGUGCGUAGGCGGCCCAAUAAGUCAGGUGUGAAAAACCGUGGCUCAACUGCGGUAUUGCACAUGAAACUGUUGGGCUUGAGUGCAGGAGAGGAAAGUGGAAUUCCUAGUGUAGCGGUGAAAUGCGUAGAGAUUAGGAAGAACACCUGUGGCGAAGGCGGCUUUCUGGCCUGUAACUGACGUUGAUGCACGAAAGCGUGGGGAGCAAACAGGAUUAGAUACCCUGGUAGUCCACGCUGUAAACGAUGGAUACUAGGUGUAGGGUGUGAACAGCAUUCUGUGCCGCAGUUAACGCAUUAAGUAUCCCGCCUGGGGAGUACGGCCGCAAGGCUGAAACUCAAAGGAAUUGACGGGGGCCCGCACAAGCAGCGGAGCAUGUGGUUUAAUUCGAAGCAACGCGAAGAACCUUACCGGGGCUUGACAUCCCUCUGGAGCGUAUAGAGAUAUACGCGACUUAUGUCGUAAGAUAUAAGGCAGGGGAGACAGGAGGUGCAUGGCC
Molecule: ribosomal RNA, 554 nt
Filed under: uncultured archaeon
Lineage: Archaea
Description: bacterial SSU rRNA
Rfam family: Bacterial small subunit ribosomal RNA
Source: RNAcentral